This 400-nucleotide ribosomal RNA is filed under the name uncultured soil bacterium. RNAcentral describes it as "bacterial SSU rRNA". It matches the Rfam family "Bacterial small subunit ribosomal RNA", at positions 26 to 425 of the family's 1533-position model. The record is from RNAcentral.
AGAUUGAACGCUGGCGGCAGGCCUAACACAUGCAAGUCGAGCGGCAGCACGGGUACUUGUACCUGGUGGCGAGCGGCGGACGGGUGAGUAAUGCCUAGGAAUCUGCCUGGUAGUGGGGGGAUAACGCUCGGAAACGGACGCUAAUACCGCAUACGUCCUACGGGAGAAGCAGGGGACCUUCGGGCCUUGCGCUAUCAGAUGAGCCUAGGUCGAUUAGCUAGUUGGUGAGGUAAUGGCUCACCAAGGCGACGAUCCGUAAUGGUCUGAGAGGAUGAUCAGUCACACUGGAACUGAGUACACGGUCCAGACUCCGUACGGGAGCAGCAGGUGGGAAUAGUGGACAGUGGGACAAGCUGAUCCAGCCAGUCGCCGUCGUUGUCGUAGAAGGUAGGUCUUACGG